RNAcentral lists this small nucleolar RNA (187 nucleotides) under Prunus dulcis (almond). RNAcentral describes it as "sRNA ncRNA". Lineage: Eukaryota; Viridiplantae; Streptophyta; Magnoliopsida; Rosales; Rosaceae. The record is from RNAcentral.
AAGUGAUGAUGAGAUUGAGAGAGAGGAUGAGAGGGAGGAGUAACAAAAGUGAAAACAAAAACUUGAAGGUGAAAACACUUUCAAAUAGAUUUCAGUUUUUUGUUUUUGUUUUAACUUUUGUUACUUCUCUCUCAUCCUCUCCUCUCACGUUCUCUCUCAAUCCCAUCUCCACUCUCAUUCUCACUUC